Molecule: long non-coding RNA, 392 nt
Organism: Mauremys reevesii (Reeves's turtle)
Lineage: Eukaryota; Metazoa; Chordata; Testudines; Geoemydidae
Exons: 3
Source: RefSeq, a predicted model, not a curated record
GGCCCACCUGGGUUUGGCACCUGCAAGAGACUUCCCUUCAGGAGCUAUGACCAGUAGGUGUUGAUAUUGACCUAUGAAACCCUACCUGAAAGAUCACCUUUCUCCUCAUGCAAUAUUGCCACAACUGCAGUCAACGCAGUCCGUCAAGUAUGAACACUAUCAGUAUAAGAGAGAAGGAAUGGCAGUGUCUGUCAGAGGACCUCAGCUUCGGAACAUACUCAGUCCAAAAUUACCCAGAAGUCUGAUCUUCAGGAAAUGUUGCAAGCUCCAUCUAAUUACCCAUGCUUUUGGGGAGCAAUGCUGCAGUCACAGCAGCACAAAAUAUUUAAAAAAAAACACUCUGCAGGAUAAUACUGCCUGUACUAAGCUGAAAAUGAGCCAGAACUUCCCAG